AGUGAACGCUGGCGGCAGGCCUAACACAUGCAAGUCGAACGGCAGCACAGCAGUAGCAAUACUGUGGGUGGCGAGUGGCGGACGGGUGAGGAAUACAUCGGAAUCUGCCUAGUCGUGGGGGAUAACGUAGGGAAACUUACGCUAAUACCGCAUACGACCUACGGGUGAAAGCGGGGGAUCGCAAGACCUCGCGCGAUUAGAUGAGCCGAUGUCCGAUUAGCUAGUUGGCGGGGUAAUGGCCCACCAAGGCGACGAUCGGUAGCUGGUCUGAGAGGAUGAUCAGCCACACUGGAACUGAAACACGGUCCAGACUCCUACGGGAGGCAGCAGUGGGGAAUAUUGGACAAUGGGCGCAAGCCUGAUCCAGCCAUGCCGCGUGGGUGAAGUAAGGCC
Molecule: ribosomal RNA, 393 nt
Filed under: uncultured bacterium
Lineage: Bacteria
Description: bacterial SSU rRNA
Rfam family: Bacterial small subunit ribosomal RNA
Source: RNAcentral